UUUUGAUCCUGCCAGUAUUAUAUGCUGAUGUUAAAGAUUAAGCCAUGCAUGUGUAAGUUUAAAGACCAAGUAGGAUGAAACUGCGGACGGCUCAUUAUAACAGUAAUAGUUUCUUUGGUUAGUCGGUACAAGGAUAACUUUGUGAAUGAUAAAGCUAAUACUUGAGACGAUCCGGGGAGUAUUUAUACUUUCUGGCCCCUGGCCGCGAGGUUGGGGAGAAACGACAUUCUCUUGUGAAAAAGGAUGCCGCGACAAUUGAGGAAAGCGACGCUUUUAACAAGUAACCAAUGGGAAUUUCUGAUCUAUCAAUUUGUUGGUAGUAUCGAGGACUACCAAGAUUAUAACGGAUAACGAGGAAUUGGGGUUCGACAUCGGAGAGGGAGCUUUACAGAUGGCUACCACUUCUAAGGAAGGCAGCAGGCGCGUAAAUUACCCACUUUCGACCGAAGAGGUAGUGACGACAAAUAACUCUUGGCGCCCCUCGGGGUGACUUGAAGGAAUGAUUUAGAAGUAAAUUCUCUAAAGAAAUCAAUGGAGACAAGUCUGCCACCCCCCC
This 556-nucleotide ribosomal RNA is filed under the name Entamoeba bovis. RNAcentral describes it as "SSU rRNA". It matches the Rfam family "Eukaryotic small subunit ribosomal RNA", at positions 1 to 575 of the family's 1831-position model. The record is from RNAcentral. Lineage: Eukaryota; Evosea; Mastigamoebida; Endamoebidae.